CCUACGGGAGGCAGCAGUGAGGAAUAUUGGUCAAUGGGCGCGAGCCUGAACCAGCCAAGUAGCGUGAAGGAUGACUGCCCUACGGGUUGUAAACUUCUUUUAUAAAGGAAUAAAGUGAGGCACGUGUGCCUUUUUGUAUGUACUUUAUGAAUAAGGAUCGGCUAACUCCGUGCCAGCAGCCGCGGUAAUACGGAGGCGCAGAGCGUUCUCCGGAUUUAUUGGGUUUAAAGGUAGCGUAGAUGGGUUGUUAAGUCAGUUGUGAAAGUUUGCGGCUCAACCGUAAAAUUGCAAUUGAUACUGGCAGUCUUGAGUACAGUGGAGGUAGGCGGAAUUCGUGGUGUAGCGGUGAAAUGCUUAGAUAUCACGAAGAACUCCGAUUGCGAAGGCAGCUUACUAAACUGCCACUGACAUUGAUGCUCGAAAGUGUGGGUAGCAAACAGGAUUAGAUACCCCAGUAGUC
RNAcentral lists this ribosomal RNA (460 nucleotides) under uncultured bacterium. RNAcentral describes it as "partial 16S ribosomal RNA". It matches the Rfam family "Bacterial small subunit ribosomal RNA", at positions 338 to 795 of the family's 1533-position model. The record is from RNAcentral.